This 1548-nucleotide long non-coding RNA is filed under the name Sus scrofa (pig). Its description in RNAcentral is "lncRNA (ENSSSCG00050042797.1)". Lineage: Eukaryota; Metazoa; Chordata; Mammalia; Artiodactyla; Suidae. The record is from RNAcentral.
GUUUUCUCUCCCCAGCACCUAUGAGCUCAGCCCCCAGCCCAAGCCGAGCCCAGGUGUGUGCUCAAGAAAUUGUCUAAACAGGUCCUGAGCCUCCAUCUGGCACCCUGAGGAAGCACCACCACCAGCCAGUGUGGCCAAGGGGAGCCCAGGACUCUAGGUUCCAGCCUGUGCUGGAGCCCCCCCAGCCCCCAGGCCACCCUGGCCCUUUCUCCUCUCUUGCCAGGCUCUUCUCCCCAGGCUGCCCAGCCCAGCUCCCCACGCCCUGCUGCAGCUCCCCACGGUAGCCUCACUCCUGCCUGCUUUUUAUAAAAUGGGCUUUGGGGAACAGUUUUAUUUGUUGUAUUUGUUUUGUCUUUUUAGGGCCGCACCUGCGGCAUAUGGAGGUUCCCAGGCUAGGGGCUGAAUCACAGCCACAGCCAAGCCAGAUCUGAGCUGGAACAGUUUUAUUUGAAUAAAAAGGUUUCAGCUACUAAAAAAUUAGAAUUUAAACAUUGGUAACAAGACCUGGGAAUACAGUCCAAAUUGCUUAAUCACAGGAACCGGUUCUUGGACCCUUUCUGCACGCUGGGCGCUUGCAUACAUUAAUCUCCACAGCCUCGAGAGGUAUCUGACAGAAACCUGUUUGGGGGAAGAGGCGGCAUGUUCAGCCGCCUGCUCUGGUCCCUCUGUGGAGGCCCAGCUCAGAGGCUCCUUCCCUGGCUGAGGUUUCUGCCCCCUUCCUCUACCUGCCCAGCUCCGUGGGCCUCUCCCACAGCCGCCUUAUCUCAUUCACUGCAGGGUUCAGAGCUCUGCGAGCUUAUCUUAUCCUUGUGCUGGUCCCAGACUCCUUGAGGGCAAAGUCCAGGACUCAUUCAUCCUCCUCGUCUGGGCAGCCCCAACACACAGCCCGAUCCUGUGACUUCAGAUGGUUUGAGUGUGGAAAGAGCACAGCAUUCGGAUUCCAGAGAUCUGGCUUUUCAUUCAACCUGCACGACUUCAGGCCAGUCAUGCCGCACACCCAGGCCUCAGGCUUCUUCUGAGUUGGAGAGCAGAGGUCCCAAGCAGCUCUGACACUGUCACCUCCAAGCUGGACACCUGCAGAGGCCUCUGGAUCCCAGCGGCCCCUCCCAGAGCCUUAGCCCCAGGGCUGUGUCCACUGCUUAUGCCUCUUCAGGAGAGUGGCCUGGGGGUGCUGAGAGAGAGGGGGGGUGAAGACCCCCUUCCAGCUGACACUGGAGCCCCGGUCUGCAAAGGAAUGGACUUCUUUGGUUCUUUACCUUGGUUUUGGUUUUGUUUUUUUGUCUUUUUAGGGUCGCACCUGCCGCACAUGGGAGUUUCCAGGCUAGGGGUCCAAUCGGAGUUACAGCUGCCGACCUACACCCCAGCCACAGCCACGCCAGAUCCGAGUCGUGUCUGCGACCUACACCACAGCUCACGGCAACGCCGGGUCCUUUAACCCACUGAGCGUGGCCAGGGCUCGAACCCGCAACCUCACGGUUCCUAGUCGGAUUCGUUUCUGCUGUGCCACGAUGGGAACUCCCCCUUUACCUUAUUUUGCCAAAACUGAUC